This 199-nucleotide long non-coding RNA is filed under the name Zostera marina. RNAcentral's name for it is "long non-coding RNA (ZMAR_LNC005462)". Lineage: Eukaryota; Viridiplantae; Streptophyta; Magnoliopsida; Alismatales; Zosteraceae. The record is from RNAcentral.
AGAAGACAUUAUGAACCUGCACGAAGAACAUAGCAGUCAGCCCAAGUUAUGGCAAAAGUCGAUCCCAAGAAAAGUCGAUCCGGACUUCAGGGAAUCGAACUAGCAGUAUGAGGGAAGUCGACCUCAGAAGUCGAUCCCAGGGAAGUCGAUCCCAGGGAAGUUGACCUCAGAUGUCGAUCCCAGGAAAGUCGACCUUCAG